GAACUUCCAUGACAAAACGAAAUGCUAGUUACCUACAGUGUGGCAACUGCUAAUUAAAAUAAUUAAAAAAAUCUAAAAAGUAUUUACUAGUGGGGCCAUGAACGACCAGAUCAAGAUAGAUCUGAUUUAAUGAUAGAAUCUGCUCUUCUAUGGAGUCCCCAGGAAAAACCAUUUUAGUAAUUAUAUCCUGGAGUGAGAAUCUUUUUUUUUAGCCAGUCUUUCACUUCCGCCUCUCCA
This 237-nucleotide long non-coding RNA is filed under the name Oryza brachyantha (malo sina). RNAcentral describes it as "long non-coding RNA (OBRA_LNC003639)". Lineage: Eukaryota; Viridiplantae; Streptophyta; Magnoliopsida; Poales; Poaceae. The record is from RNAcentral.